This 1864-nucleotide long non-coding RNA is filed under the name Olea europaea subsp. europaea. The record is from RNAcentral. Lineage: Eukaryota; Viridiplantae; Streptophyta; Magnoliopsida; Lamiales; Oleaceae.
AAAAAAAAAUGAGUAGCAAAACAAGACACAAAUUGUCCAGUUAUCAUUAUGAAGACAACCAAUUGUUGGUUAUUAAGGAAUACAAAAGAAAGGAUAAAAAAAGGUCAAUUGACAAAAAAGAAAUAAUUUACAAGAUAUGAUUUAUCUGCAUCUAAAGUAUCAAUUCCAAUUCGACUCAUAUUCCCCAAAAAAUGGAUCCCGCUCUAAUAGCUCCGAAUAAAUUAAAUACAUGCACUAAGAUAUGAAGGCUUCUUAUUCCAUAAUAGCAAAAGCACUUUUUCACUCUUUCAUAUACUAGGGAUUUCACUUGAAAAAGAAAAUGUUUCAUACUAAUCGAUAGGGCCUCAUUGUUAAGUGCUACAAGAUCUCGUGCAUUGAAACCCAUGGUUAUGUACCCAGAUCGAAGUUAAAAAAUACAUUGAUUGACUUAAACUUCUUAUUUACAGAUGUACAAACUGGAAUUGGAAAUANUUUUAUCUGUGAUUUUGUUUGAAUCUAGAAAGAAUACAGAAAUAGACUAAGAUGCCACUUCAAAUUUGAAUGAAGAAAUAAUCAAAAAUAUUGUUUUCGGAUAUCUCAAUUGGUCAAAUUUGAAACAAGUGUCUCCAAAUGAAUGAAAGAAGUACUUUAAGGAAUGAAUAUUAUUAAGAUUUUAAGGCAAAAGAUUUCCUUUUCUAUCAAAAUAUCCAGUAUUUAGAAAAAAAUUCCACCGAUUACCCAUAGCCAGGAAUAGAAUAAUUGAGAGAAAGAUAUUGUGAUGAUCAAAAAAAUGAGUAGCAAAACAAGACAGAAAUUGUCCAGUUAUCAUUAUGAAGAAAACCAAUUGUUGGUUAUUAAGGAAUACAAGAGAAAGGACAAAAAAAGGUCGAUUGACAAAAAAGAAAUAAUUUACAAGAUAUGAUUUAUCUACAUCUAAAGUAUCAAUUCCAACAAAUAUUGAAUAAAAAAAGAAAUUUCUUUCUUUCGAAAUCGUUUGAUAUAUGAGAUGAAUUGAAUCUAUUAGGUCAAUUUGUUAUACUUGUUGUUGAAUUGAGUUACGUGGCUUUCUAGAUGCCACAAAAAGAGUUUUCUUUUAUGGUUGUUCCAUAUAUAUCGGCUUUGGCUCAACUUAACGUUCUGACAAAACUUCAGUUAAGUUUUGUUAUAGAAAAAAAGAGGAUUCUUGCAUUUUGCCCUCCUGUUGAGAAAGCAUUCAUUCUUCAGCCCAUAUUUAUAUUUCUCAAAAGACUUUAAUUGGUACGUGCAAGAAAUAGGCCAAUUCUAUAGCUUUUUGUUCAAUUUCUCGUGGAGUUAAAUUCUCAUCAGUAUGGGUCAAGGGAAUGGCCCCCUAGCCUGUGAUAUCCAUAUAAAGGACACAAAGAGCAUAAAUACCCUCUUUAACUUGUAUUCUGAUGGACUGAAUAUCUUUUAUAAGGAAUCGGAGGAAUAUGCGACGAUUUUUUCCAGGAAAUCCCCAACGAGAAAUACACACUAUCCCUUUUUUUCUAUCAAAUCGAUCAUAACCAAUACCUACAUUCUAGGAAAUUGUGCACCACAAAUAGGAACAAAUAAAGAGACCCGUGAUCCCGUAGAAAGACAUCACUAUCCCUUGUGGAAAAAAAUGAUUUGCUAAGACGAAAAAAAGAUAUCAAAUUUCUACCAAGAUAAUUGGAAGUUCCAACCAAUAAGAAUCCUAAUGAACCUAAAAAAAAAAGGAUAAGCAUAAAUUACUUAGUUUUCGAGACCCCGUUAUAAGUUCUAUUCAUAUAUCUUCUGAUCUCCAACUCAUACUUGAUCUGAUUGCGUUUUAUUGGAAUUGAGAGAAUACCACAAAUGAAUUUGACUUUACUUUAACUCAUUAGAUUCCGUAGUAGGUUUAAGGAUC